Molecule: long non-coding RNA, 408 nt
Organism: Lactuca sativa (garden lettuce)
Lineage: Eukaryota; Viridiplantae; Streptophyta; Magnoliopsida; Asterales; Asteraceae
Source: RefSeq, a predicted model, not a curated record
UUGAUUUGUUAGGUUGGUGGAAGUUAAAUGGGGUUAAGUAUCCUACAUUGUGUUUGAUUGCAAAAGACAUAUUAGCCAUUCCUAUCUCCACUGUUGCUUCAGAGUCUUCUUUUUCUACAAGUGGUAGAAUCGUUAGUCCACAUAGGAGUAGACUUCUUCCGUCAACAAUUGAAGCUAUCAUAUGCACUCAAAAUUGGCUAUGGGCGGGUAAAAAAGGUUGUGUUAUUGAUGGUGAUGAUGUACAUUCCGAUGAAGACGAUGAGGGACUUGAGGGAGGAUAUUCGAAUGUCAGUGAAUGAAGAGUUGAAGGAAAUUAACGGAUACUGAAGAUGUAGUGAAUUGUGUUUUAUAUUUGUCAUUUUGGAUUUGUUGUAUUUUGCAUUUGUAAUGUUAGAUUUGUAUUCGUAA